Molecule: transfer RNA, 66 nt
Filed under: Epacromius coerulipes
Lineage: Eukaryota; Metazoa; Arthropoda; Insecta; Orthoptera; Acrididae
Description: tRNA-Ile
Source: RNAcentral
AAUGAAGUGCCUGACUAAAGGAUUAUCUUGAUAGGAUAAAUAAAGUAGAUAAAUUUACCUUCAUUA